RNAcentral lists this microRNA precursor (49 nucleotides) under Marmota monax (woodchuck). The record is from RNAcentral. Lineage: Eukaryota; Metazoa; Chordata; Mammalia; Rodentia; Sciuridae.
UUUUUAGCAUAAGUAUAUCCCAUGUAAUGUUUAGGGUAUACUUAUAUAA